GCGAAUAGGGUUUGUUAGUCAUCAGACGAAUUUUGUUUUUCACGGAGAGUUGAACAAAAAAGACACUUUCAGUGUCCUGCUCCUUCAUCGAGUACCAUGUGUACGGGUAUUGCACCUCGGGUUUUAAACACCAUGAAGGAAUUUGCUUCGUUCACUUCAUUUUGAUUUCCUCAUCACCAACCCUUUUACCGAUUUCAUCCACCACGGACCUUUGCAGACUCUCGACCCCUCCAUAGGAUCCCGGGUUUGAAGGAGUGAAAUAAAUAUUUUUCAGCAGACGUUCAGUCAUGGUGAAAUGAUUGAAACACAAUGAAGAGAGUGCUAGAAUGGAUUAUGGUUUUAUAAACAUCUUUUCAGCAAAAGAGGUUAUGUUUACGUUACGUUCAAUUAAAAAUGAAAGCAUGCAAUCAAAGGUUUUAUAUACAUCAACCUUUUCAUCGUUACUUAGUUUCAAAACACAUACAUCUAUUACAUAGGUGAAUAUACAUAAUAUAUGCCUGUUUUUACAUUCAUUUGGGUUUUCAAUGAUAUGAGAAAUAA
Electrophorus electricus (electric eel) is the source of this 540-nucleotide non-coding RNA. The record is from RefSeq and is a predicted model, not a curated record. NCBI's taxonomy places the organism in Eukaryota, Metazoa, Chordata, Actinopteri, Gymnotiformes, Gymnotidae.